AUGGGGGCAAGCAGGGCGCGGGGCGCAGAGCGGCUGGCUCGCGCCUGGAUCUCGGGGCAGGCGGGCAGCUGGCCAGGUCCCGGCGCCUCCUGCCCGAACCACGUGGGCUGCGCCCCGCUCCGCCCAGCUCCGGGAGCGCGGACACUUCUGGAUGCCCUGCCAGGCCGAGGGCGGGACGUUCACCUGGGGCGCCCGCGCGGGAAGCGCCAGUGCGGGGGAGAGCCCCGGAUACUCGCCCCCAGGAGAGCGCUAUUUACUUCGGCUUUACAGAUGGGGAAACUGAGGCUCAGAAACGCGCCCUACCAAAGCCACCGACCAGCAUCAGGACCAGGAGGGUCCCGCAGCCGCGGGCAACCCCGCUGCGGAGAGGAGACCCAGGCCUUGCCCGCCAAGAAAAAGUCAAGAUCCGUGGGCAAAUGGGGCAGAUGUGGACGCCAGGACGCGCGGCGCGGGGGUGCCAGGACCGAGGACGCGCUGCGGGGGACGCCUGGGAGCUCCGCGCCGCUGCGCUCUCCUCCUGGACUCUAG
RNAcentral lists this long non-coding RNA (528 nucleotides) under Papio anubis (olive baboon). RNAcentral describes it as "lncRNA (ENSPANG00000037624.1)". Lineage: Eukaryota; Metazoa; Chordata; Mammalia; Primates; Cercopithecidae. The record is from RNAcentral.